GACGAACGCUGGCGGCGUGCUUAACACAUGCCAGUCGAACGGAAAGGCCCUGCUUUUGUUGGGUGCUCGAGUGGCGAACGGGUGCGUAACACGUGAGUAACCUUCCCUUGACUUUGGGGUAACUUCAGGUAACUGGUGCUAAUACCGGAUAGUAGCUCCUGCUGCAUGUUGGGGGUUGGAAAGUUUCGGCGGGUUGGGAUGGACUCGCGGCUUAUCAGCUUGUUGGUGGGGUAGUUGCUUACCAAGGCUUCGGCGGGUAGCCGGCCUGGGAGGGUGACAGGCCACAUUGGGACUGAGAUACGGCCCAUAGUCCUACGGGAGGCAGCGGUGGAAAAUAUUGCGAGAAGGGCGGAAGCCUGAUGCAACGACGCCGCGUGCGAGAUGACGGUCUUAGGGGUGUAACCCGCUUUAGCCUGUGACGAAGAGUGAGUGACGGUAAUGGAUAAAGAAGCACCGGCUAACUACGUG
RNAcentral lists this ribosomal RNA (468 nucleotides) under uncultured bacterium. Its description in RNAcentral is "partial 16S ribosomal RNA". It matches the Rfam family "Bacterial small subunit ribosomal RNA", at positions 28 to 507 of the family's 1533-position model. The record is from RNAcentral.